GAUCCUGGCUCAGGAUGAACGCUAGCUACAGGCUUAACACAUGCAAGUCGAGGGGCAUCAGGAAGAAAGCUUGCUUUCUUUGCUGGCGACCGGCGCACGGGUGAGUAACACGUAUCCAACCUGCCCUUUACUCGGGGAUAGCCUUUCGAAAGAAAGAUUAAUACCCGAUAGUAUAAUGAUUCCGCAUGGUUUCAUUAUUAAAGGAUUCCGGUAAAGGAUGGGGAUGCGUUCCAUUAGGUUGUUGGUGAGGUAACGGCU
This 258-nucleotide ribosomal RNA is filed under the name uncultured bacterium. Its description in RNAcentral is "partial 16S ribosomal RNA". It matches the Rfam family "Bacterial small subunit ribosomal RNA", at positions 15 to 265 of the family's 1533-position model. The record is from RNAcentral.